GAAAUUUGGCUCUUGAUGGAGAUGUUUUGAAGAAAGGGUAAUGUUAAUUUAUAUGUGUGAAGUUAAGCUAUGCUUUAGUAUUAGGGUAGGAAGUGGUAGAUUUAUUAUUAGUACUGUAAGGGAAAGGGCUUAUUUCGUGAAAAGAGAUAGUUGAUUUGUGUACCUUUUGCAUAAGGGAGGUUUUAAAUAAGACUUAUGGUAAUGUUCCCGAAACAAUUAGAUGGGCUAUUUUAAUAAGAGCUUACUGUUGCAUAAGUAGGUUAAAUUUUAAUUUAGUGAUGAAAUAUUAUUCAAAUAUUGAGAUAUCUGGUUCUUUCCUAGGAAAAUUUAGUUUAAUGGGCUUGAGGUUAAGUUUGGGAGGUCUUAUUGGGAUUAGCUAAUGGGAUGAGUUAUAUUUUAUUAUGUCAGUCUUAAACUAGGUUUAAAAGUGGCCUGGGUGCUUAAAUGGUGUUAAAACCAAAAGGUAGAUUUGGGUUUAUUUUAUUGUUUAUUAGCUUGCUGAGGAAAGAAGGCUUGGAAGUUAAAGGUAAGCUAAUAUAAUGGGUGUAUUAGUAGUUAAUUUAAGGUGGUUAAAGUUGGGCUUAGAACUGAUACGAUUUAUAUUAUAAUGAUAAGUUCUUCAAAGGAAUUCGGCAUAAUUUUAGGCUUUGCCUGUUUAUCAAAUACAUGGUUUCUUGUGUUUAUAUAAGAAAUCUGACCUGCUCGCUGACGUGAUGUUAAAGGGCUGCAGUAUAUUGACUGUACAAAGGUAGCAUAAUCAUUAGUCUUUUGAUUGAAGACUGGAAUGAAAGGUUGGACGGAGUCAGACUGUCUCUGGGAAAUUGAUGUGAAAUUUUCUUUUCUGUGAAAAUACAGAGAUGAGUCUAAGGGACGAGAAGACCCUGUUAAGCUUUAUAUUAAGGUUGGAUUUGAUGAGAGGAAUUAAUUUGGGUCUUGAUUUAGUGUUUUGCUGGGGCGGCAAGAAUUUUGUGGCAAUUAUAAGAUGUAAUGAUGGCGGUUGGCGUUGUGAGGAUUGAUCCGUAUUUUUUACVNAY
This 1034-nucleotide ribosomal RNA is filed under the name Anadenobolus excisus. Its description in RNAcentral is "partial 16S ribosomal RNA". The stretch from base 644 to 804 matches the Rfam family "Bacterial large subunit ribosomal RNA", at positions 1790 to 2014 of the family's 2925-position model. Lineage: Eukaryota; Metazoa; Arthropoda; Diplopoda; Spirobolida; Rhinocricidae. The record is from RNAcentral.